ACAAUGAAAUAAGAAUAAAAAUAAACUGACUACGGAUCAGGAGGUUAGGGGUUCGACUCCCUUCGGGUGUGCCA
Molecule: transfer RNA, 74 nt
Filed under: Ruficoccus amylovorans
Lineage: Bacteria; Pseudomonadati; Verrucomicrobiota; Opitutia; Puniceicoccales; Cerasicoccaceae
Description: tRNA-Arg
Source: RNAcentral